Molecule: transfer RNA, 74 nt
Filed under: Stegodyphus mimosarum
Lineage: Eukaryota; Metazoa; Arthropoda; Arachnida; Araneae; Eresidae
Rfam family: tRNA
About the family: Transfer RNA (tRNA) molecules are approximately 80 nucleotides in length. Their secondary structure includes four short double-helical elements and three loops (D, anti-codon, and T loops).
Source: Rfam by way of RNAcentral
GGCUUCGUGGUGUAGUUGGAUAUCACAUCUGGCUAGCAGUCGGGAAGUCCGGUGUUCAAAUCCAGGCGAGGCCA